Potamilus streckersoni is the source of this 68-nucleotide non-coding RNA. The record is from the annotation of a GenBank genome assembly. Lineage: Eukaryota; Metazoa; Mollusca; Bivalvia; Unionida; Unionidae.
GGUGGCCUAGUGAUUAGAGCGUCCGCCUCAGAUGUGGGAGGUCGUGGUUUCGAUCCCCGGCUGAGUCA